CUACGGGUGGCACCAGUGGGGAAUAUUGCACAAUGGGCGCAAGCCUGAUGCAGCAACGCCGCGUGAGGGAUGAAGGCCUUCGGAUUGUAAACCUCUUUUAGCAGGGAAGAAGCGAAAGUGACGGUACCUGCAGAAAAAGCACCGGCUAACUACGUGCCAGCAGCCGCGGUAAUACGUAGGGUGCAAGCGUUGUCCGGAAUUAUUGGGCGUAAAGAGCUCGUAGGCGGUUUGUCACGUCUGCUGUGAAAAUCCAAGGCUCAACCUUGGACUUGCAGUGGGUACGGGCAGGCUAGAGUGCGGUAGGGGAGAUGGGAAUUCCUGGUGUAGCGGUGGAAUGCGCAGAUAUCAGGAGGAACACCAAUGGCGAAGGCACAUCUCUGGGCCGUAACUGACGCUGAGGAGCGAAAGCGUGGGGAGCGAACAGGAUUAGAUACCCGCGUAGUC
RNAcentral lists this ribosomal RNA (444 nucleotides) under uncultured bacterium. RNAcentral describes it as "partial 16S ribosomal RNA". It matches the Rfam family "Bacterial small subunit ribosomal RNA", at positions 339 to 795 of the family's 1533-position model. The record is from RNAcentral.